Long non-coding RNA from Trifolium pratense (red clover), 895 nucleotides. RefSeq lists it as uncharacterized. Lineage: Eukaryota; Viridiplantae; Streptophyta; Magnoliopsida; Fabales; Fabaceae. The transcript has 4 exons. The record is from RefSeq and is a predicted model, not a curated record.
AUCCAUACUCUUAACAAAAGUCUUGCCAAAUGUUAACCGGAGAUACCCCAUUUUUGGUGUUUUUUGCCUUUCCCCGUUUGUUAUUCAUCUACAUUUCUUUUCAACUAUUAGUUUGAUUGAAUGUAUUUCUUCUCCAUGAACACAAUCGGGUGAGAGAGAUUCUCUCAUGAUUUCUGGGUUUUUUUCUCCUCAUUUAUUGUUUUCUUUUUCUCUAUUUUUUUCUUCAGCAACAGGAAAUAAUGGCAGAAAGUUUGGUAUGAGAGAUGAAAAUUGCUUGACUACAUAUAUGUAUGUAAGGAGCUAAAAGUAAUGGAAAGAAGAAAAAUUAUAGCUUUCGGGGAUUUUGGUCAUCGAACAUUUCACAAAGGAUUUUGGAGCUUUUGUCAUUCUCGUAGUUAAUGCCUUAGACUCAAUGAAAUGUGUGGCUGCUGUAAAAAGGAAAGGAGAAGUGCAAGAAGAGGAUAUUUGCAUGAAGUUUCUUACUUCCUUUUCAUUGAUGAAGAAAGAGGUGAGUGAAGAUCCAUUCAUCUUGCUUCUUGCAAAGGUAGUAGAAGUUUUAUGUAUUUUGAUUGUCUUAAUUUAAUUUUUUUCCCGGUUGAUUUGGAAGAAGCUGAAUACAUAGUGUUCAAGUACAUAUGGUGAAUAGAGGAGGAAUAGAGAAAUACAACUUAUGAUAUGAGGUUGGGACUUGGGAAUUUGUAAGAAUGUGACAAAUUAACUAUAUCUUUAUGAAUUGUUGAUGUCAAACAUGAAUACAAGAUUGAUCAAGUAGUUGGUACUUAGAGAAAAUUUGUCUCAAUGAUGAAAUUGGUAAUGUCCAUGUUAAGAAAGAUUGUGAAGGCUGUGAAAAUUGACAAUGAUGAAUAUGAGUUUAAGAUUGUGAAGGUUGUGUCAA